UAUACAAGGUUGGCAGCUAAUAUUAGAUUUAGAUGAAAUUUUCUCUGUUAUCAUCGUUUUAUUAUAACUUAUUGCUGAAUCCCAUGAAAUAUGUAAUGUUGAUAAUACAAAUUGUUUAAGAGUUCCUCUUAUGUUGCCUUUGAAUGUAUGCUUGAUAUCAAGCUUUUUUUUUUUUGGGUCAAUAAGUGAAAGCUUGAAUAUGCCUUGUUAUGUUGCUGUUGUAUCUGUUUACUCUCUCAUUGUAGUGUUGGUUUAAGUUUGUCAGUAAAAACGUUGAAGAAUAUAUAUGUCCUAGGGUUUGUAGUUCUCCAAAGCUUCUCUUCACUUAUUUGCUUGUUCUCAUUGUUCUAUUUAAAACCUGACUUUUAUGGGCGUGAAUAGAACAUUAUCCAUAACCGCAUCUCUUCUAGCCUCGUCAACGUCAGGUAUAAAUAAAAUAGUAUUGAUCUUCACUGGUCAGUGAGACAGAAGAUCAUUCAUUACCUAGUGUUUGUAGCUUUUGAGUGUUCCUUUUUGCUUCUCUUCAUUGCAUUUUCAUUCCUGUAUCUCUCUGGUUUCCAUACUUCACAUAACACCUGGUGGUUUCUCUCUAUGAUUAUGUAGCAAGGAAGAAUUGCUAAAGCAGAAGCCACAUUUGAGAGGCUUCUGAUGGGUGCUUCAGAAGCAAAAUUUGCUAUUUGCUAUGUCAGAAUUAUCUAAGUAGAUAGAGGAGAUGACACUGAUACUGUGAAGCUCUCAGGAUUAUCUAAAUGUAAUAUAUAUUUUGAUGUGUUUUGUACUUUUUGAAAUGAGACUUUAUCUGAUAUUACAUGUAAUGGAUAAAUUACACUCUAUUUUGAUUGUGUUGUUUGGACUAAAAACAUAUCUAGCUUAUAAUGUAAUUUUUAUGAUUUAGAUUUCUUGAAUUUCUCA
This 912-nucleotide long non-coding RNA is filed under the name Arachis ipaensis. RNAcentral's name for it is "long non-coding RNA (AIPA_LNC001642)". Lineage: Eukaryota; Viridiplantae; Streptophyta; Magnoliopsida; Fabales; Fabaceae. The record is from RNAcentral.